GACGAACGCUGGCGGCGUGCCUAAUACAUGCAAGUUGAGCGCUUAACGUUAGUUCCUUUACCGUUUCGAUGGACAGCCAAACGGUGGGUUACCCCUGGGGCAACCUCCUUCGAGCCGGGGGCUAACAUUUGGAACCAAUUCCAAUACCCCAUUAAAACUUUAAACAGCAUUUCACAGAUUUAAAGAUCCAAUUGCAUCCCCCAAAGAUGAUCUCCCGUUGUAUUAACUAGUUGGUUAGGGAAAGGCUCACCAAGGCGAUGAUACAUAACCGAACUGAGAGGGUGAUCGGCCACAUUGGGACUUGGAAACGGCCCAAACUCCUACGGGAGGCAGCAGUAGGGAAUCUUCGGCAAUGGACGAAAGUCUGAAUGAGCAACGCCGCGUGAGUGAAGAAGGGUUUCGGAUCGGAAAAGUCUGUUGGUAGGGAAGAACGUGGGAGAGAGUGGAAAGCUCAUAAAGUGACGGUAACUAACCAGAAAGGGACGGCUAACUACGUG
RNAcentral lists this ribosomal RNA (497 nucleotides) under uncultured bacterium. RNAcentral describes it as "partial 16S ribosomal RNA". It matches the Rfam family "Bacterial small subunit ribosomal RNA", at positions 28 to 507 of the family's 1533-position model. The record is from RNAcentral.